This 472-nucleotide ribosomal RNA is filed under the name uncultured bacterium. RNAcentral's name for it is "bacterial SSU rRNA". It matches the Rfam family "Bacterial small subunit ribosomal RNA", at positions 335 to 800 of the family's 1533-position model. The record is from RNAcentral.
ACUCCUACGGGAGGCAGCAGUGGGGAAUAUUGCACAAUGGGCGCAAGCCUGAUGCAGCCAUGCCGCGUGUAUGAAGAAGGCCUUCGGGUUGUAAAGUACUUUCAGCAGUGAGGAAGGUGGAUAUGUUAAUAGCAUAUUCAUUUGACGUUAGCUGCAGAAGAAGCACCGGCUAACUCCGUGCCAGCAGCCGCGGUAAUACGGAGGGUGCGAGCGUUAAUCGGAAUUACUGGGCGUAAAGCGCAUGCAGGUGGUUUGUUAAGUCAGAUGUGAAAGCCCGGGGCUCAACCUCGGAAUUGCAUUUGAAACUGGCAAACUAGAGUACUGUAGAGGGGGGUAGAAUUUCAGGUGUAGCGGUGAAAUGCGUAGAGAUCUGAAGGAUACCGGUGGCGAAGGCGGCCCCCUGGACAGAUACUGACACUCAGAUGCGAAAGCGUGGGGAGCAAACAGGAUUAGAUACCCCGGUAGGCUCUGC